ACAGAAGCCGGGAUAGCUCC
Molecule: transfer RNA, 20 nt
Filed under: Sphagnum brasiliense
Lineage: Eukaryota; Viridiplantae; Streptophyta; Sphagnopsida; Sphagnales; Sphagnaceae
Description: partial tRNA-Phe
Source: RNAcentral